Molecule: unclassified non-coding RNA, 362 nt
Filed under: Zea mays
Lineage: Eukaryota; Viridiplantae; Streptophyta; Magnoliopsida; Poales; Poaceae
Description: misc RNA Zm00001eb230620
Source: RNAcentral
GCAGAGGAAGACGGGAUUCGACGGCGCCGUGGGGAAGAGCCGCUCGGCAGAGAGGAGCACGCCAUGGGAGCCGCGUGGUGAGCUGGGGGCGAGCUGCAGCAGGGAGCCACGGUGAGCGCAGGGAGCAGCAGCCGACCAGGAGGCACGCGCGUGCCAUGGGAGACAGAGGAGCGCGCGUGGGAGGAGCACUCGGCCAGAAUAUGAGCGUCGGCUGCAUUUUUGAAGAGCCCAGGGGCGGCGCCGUACAAAAAUAUCAGGGGAAGAAGGAUAGCGACGAAGCUGUGCGGUGGCGAGAAAAUCAGGAGGAAGAUAACGACGACUUGAAAAAAAUCUGUACCGACGUGCAGCAGAUUUUUUUCUCA